AUGGUUAAUCAUGUUCAAAUUCAGAUGGAGUUCAGAGGCCCAAGGGUGGCAUACUUGGGCAAUCAUCAAAGGCAAGCAGACCAUGACCAAGUUCUAAAGUGUUGUUUGAUAUGGAGGAGCAGGUCUAAGAUAGAGUCAUGGAAGAGGAUUUUCUCCAGUUCAUCCGUCUUGUUUAUAAUAGAAAUCUUGAUUCAGUGUUUAGAAGCAUAUUAUUCCUCUUAAAGAAAAUAUAAUAUUGGAUAAAAAGGGUUGUUAGAAGGCAAGUGAAUUCAAAUUUAUGGUAUUUGACCUUUUUUCUUUAUUUUUUCAAGACUUUUUGCUAUCAUUUUGAGCCAGAAUCACUUUAUUUGAAGAAUUUUGUUCUUUUCAAACUGGAACAAUAAAGUAAUCCAUUCUCCCUAAUUCUGGAUAAUU
Molecule: long non-coding RNA, 414 nt
Filed under: Oryctolagus cuniculus (rabbit)
Lineage: Eukaryota; Metazoa; Chordata; Mammalia; Lagomorpha; Leporidae
Description: lncRNA (ENSOCUG00000035902.1)
Source: RNAcentral